Molecule: ribosomal RNA, 320 nt
Filed under: uncultured bacterium
Lineage: Bacteria
Description: bacterial SSU rRNA
Rfam family: Bacterial small subunit ribosomal RNA
Source: RNAcentral
AGCGAACGUUUGCGGCGGGCUUAACACAUGCAAGUCGAACGAGAAUCCCUUCGGGGAGGAAAGUGGCGCACGGGUGCGUAACACGUGGAUAACCAACCCAUUGGUUUGGGACAACACCGGGAAACUGGUGCUAAUACCAGAUGUGUCGCAGCUGUCUUCAGGCGGUUGCGAGAAAGGCCCGCAAGGGUCGCCAACGGACGGGUCCGCGUCCCAUCAGCUAGUUGGUGAGGUAAUGGCUCACCAAGGCAAAGAACGGGUAGCUGGUCUGAGAGGAUGAUCAGCCACACUGGAACUGAGACACGGUCCAGACUCCUACGGGA